CGCGGCCUAUCAGCUUGUUGGUGAGGUAACGGCUCACCAAGGCGACGACGGGUAGCCGGCCUGAGAGGGCGACCGGCCGCACUGGGACUGAGACACGGCCCAGACUCCUACGGGAGGCAGCAGUGGGGAAUAUUGCACAAUGGGCGAAAGCCUGAUGCAGCGACGCCGCGUGAGGGGUGACGGCCUUCGGGUUGUAAACCUCUUUCAGCAGGGAAGAAGCGAGAGUGACGGUACCUGCAGAAGAAGCGCCGGCUAACUACGUGCCAGCAGCCGCGGUAAUACGUAGGGCGCAAGCGUUGUCCGGAAUUAUUGGGCGUAAAGAGCUCGUAGGCGGCUUGUCACGUCGGUUGUGAAAGCCCGGGGCUUAACCCCGGGUCUGCAGUCGAUACGGGCAGGCUAGAGUUCGGUAGGGGAGAUCGGAAUUCCUGGUGUAGCGGUGAAAUGCGCAGAUAUCAGGAGGAACACCGGUGGCGAAGGCGGAUCUCUGGGCCGAUACUGACGCUGAGGGGCGAAAGCGUGGGGGGCGAACAGGAUUAGAUACCCUGGUAGUCCACGCCGUAAACGGUGGGCACUAGGUGUGGGCAACAUUCCACGUUGUCCGUGCCGCAGCUAACGCAUUAAGUGCCCCGCCUGGGGAGUACGG
Molecule: ribosomal RNA, 643 nt
Filed under: uncultured Actinomycetes bacterium
Lineage: Bacteria; Bacillati; Actinomycetota; Actinomycetes
Description: bacterial SSU rRNA
Rfam family: Bacterial small subunit ribosomal RNA
Source: RNAcentral